AUACUCGGUAGUGUGUAAGUCUGAUGCCCCGAUGUUCACGCACACAUUUGACGUGCGCCUCCCUCCAGCCUUGUUACCAUGUCGGCACAUUGCCUAUCUGACG
Molecule: small nucleolar RNA, 103 nt
Organism: Gorilla gorilla gorilla (western lowland gorilla)
Lineage: Eukaryota; Metazoa; Chordata; Mammalia; Primates; Hominidae
Rfam family: Small nucleolar RNA U13
Source: Rfam